GACGAACGCUGGCGGCGUGCUUAACACAUGCAAGUCGAACGGAAAGGCCCUGCUUUUGUGGGGUGCUCGAGUGGCGAACGGGUGAGAAACACGUGAGUAACCUGCCCUUGACUUUGGGAUAACUUCAGGAAACUGGGGCUAAUCCCGGAUAGGAGCUCCUGCUGCAUUGUGGGGGUUGGAACGUUUCGGCGGUUGGGGAUGGACUCGCGGCUUAUCAGCUUGUUGGUGGGGUAGUGGCUUACCAAGGCUUUGACGGGUAGCCGGCCUGAGAGGGUGACCGGCCACAUUGGGACUGAGAGACGGCCCAGACUCCUACGGGAGGCAGCAGUGGGGAAGAUUGCACAAUGGGCGGAAGCCUGAUGCAGCAACGCCGCGUGCGGGAUGACGGCCUUCGGGUUGUAAACCGCUUUCGCCUGUGACGAAGCGUGAGUGACGGUAAUGGGUAAAGAAGCACCGGCUAACUACGUG
RNAcentral lists this ribosomal RNA (468 nucleotides) under uncultured bacterium. RNAcentral describes it as "partial 16S ribosomal RNA". It matches the Rfam family "Bacterial small subunit ribosomal RNA", at positions 28 to 507 of the family's 1533-position model. The record is from RNAcentral.